AUGAACGCUGGCGGCGUGCCUAAUACAUGCAAGUAGAACGCUGAAGGCGGAGCUUGCUCUUCUGGAUGAGUUGCGAACGGGUGAGUAACGCGUAGGUAACCUGCCUGGUAGCGGGGGAUAACUAUUGGAAACGAUAGCUAAUACCGCAUGACAACAGUUAUUGCAUGAUAACUGUUUAAAAGGGGCAACUGCUCCACUACCAGAUGGACCUGCGUUGUAUUAGCUAGUUGGUGAGGUAACGGCUCACCGAGGCGACGAUACAUAGCCGACCUGAGAGGGUGAUCGGCCACACUGGGACUGAGACACGGCCCAGACUCCUACGGGAGGCAGCAGUAGGGAAUCUUCGGCAAUGGACGGAAGUCUGACCGAGCAACGCCGCGGGAGUGAAGAAGGUUUUCGGAUCGUAAAGCUCUGUUGUAAGAGAAGAACGAGUGUGAGAGUGGAAAGUUCACACUGUGACGGUAUCUUACCAGAAAGGGACGGCUAACUACGUG
This 494-nucleotide ribosomal RNA is filed under the name uncultured bacterium. Its description in RNAcentral is "partial 16S ribosomal RNA". It matches the Rfam family "Bacterial small subunit ribosomal RNA", at positions 29 to 507 of the family's 1533-position model. The record is from RNAcentral.